Molecule: ribosomal RNA, 274 nt
Filed under: uncultured bacterium
Lineage: Bacteria
Description: partial 16S ribosomal RNA
Rfam family: Bacterial small subunit ribosomal RNA
Source: RNAcentral
AUACGGAGGGUGCAAGCGUUACUCGGAAUCACUGGGCGUAAAGCGCGCGCAGGCGGCCAUUUAAGUUGGAUGUGAAAGCCUACGGCUCAACCGUAGAACUGCAUCCAAAACUAUUUGGCUAGAGUGUGGGAGAGGAAGAUGGAAUUAGUUGUGUAGGGGUAAAAUCCGUAGAGAUAACUAGGAAUACCAAAAGCGAAGGCAAUCUUCUGGAACAUUACUGACGCUGAGGCGCGAAAGCGUGGGGAGCAAACAGGAGUAGAUACCCUAGUAGUCC